GUCUACGGCCAUACCACUUAGAAAGCACCGGUUCUCGUCCGAUCACCGAAGUUAAGCUCAGUAGGGAGCGGUAAGUACUUGGAUGGGUGGACCGCUUCGGAAUACCGUGUGCUGUAGGUA
RNAcentral lists this ribosomal RNA (120 nucleotides) under Nematostella vectensis (starlet sea anemone). The record is from RNAcentral. Lineage: Eukaryota; Metazoa; Cnidaria; Anthozoa; Actiniaria; Edwardsiidae.